CUAGCGGGANUUUCUUACACAUGACCCGUCGAACGGCAGCGCGAGGAAAGCUUGCUUUUUUUGGCGGCGAGUGGCGAACGGGUGAGUAAUGUAUCGGAACGUGCCCAGUAGCGGGGGAUAACCACUCGAAAGAGUGGCUAAUACCGCAUACGCCCUUCGGGGGAAAGGGGGGGAUUCUUUCGGGAACCUCUCACUAUUGGAGCGGCCGAUAUCGGAUUAUCUAGUUGGUGGGGUAAAGGCUCACCAAGGCCACGAUCCGUAGCUGGUUUGAGAGGACGGCCAGCCACACUGGGACUGAGACACGGCCCAGACUCCUACGGGAGGCAGCAGUGGGGAAUUUUGGACAAUGGGGGGAACCCUGAUCCAGCAAUCCCGCGUGUGCGAUGAAGGCCUUCGGGUUGUAAAGCACUUUUAGCAGGGAAGAAACAGCGCCGGUUAAUACCCCGGCGUCACUGACGGUACCUGCAGAAUAAGCACCGGCUAACUACGUGCCAGCAGCCGCGGUAAUACCUAGGGUGCAAGCGUUAAUCGGAAUUACUGGGCGUAAAAGGGUGCGCAGGCGGCCCUGCCAAGAAAGGUUGUGAAAUCCCAGGGCU
This 596-nucleotide ribosomal RNA is filed under the name uncultured bacterium. RNAcentral's name for it is "bacterial SSU rRNA". It matches the Rfam family "Bacterial small subunit ribosomal RNA", at positions 36 to 609 of the family's 1533-position model. The record is from RNAcentral.